UACUCUCAACCCCUGGGGUCUUUAAGCGGACCACCUCGGGCUUGGAUCAUGGACGCUGCCGGCCCUCUCGGGGGUGUGGCUUGUCUGAAAUACAUGAGCUGACCUGUCUGCGAACAGCACGGUUUGACUCGGCGUAAUAAAUCCAUUUUUCGUCGGGGACACCCUUUGCGGGGUGGCCGGGCUCGCGGUCUUCGGGUUCCUUACAAUCGAAUAGUCCCAUCUAU
This 224-nucleotide unclassified non-coding RNA is filed under the name uncultured Basidiomycota. Its description in RNAcentral is "sequence contains ITS2". Lineage: Eukaryota; Fungi; Basidiomycota. The record is from RNAcentral.